AGAAUCUACCUUCAGGUCGGGGAUAACCCCUGGAAACGGGGGCUAAUACCGGAUAGGUCGAAAGAUGAAAGGUUAACUGCCUGAAGAGGGGCUCGCGUCUGAUUAGCUAGUAGGUGUGGUAAGAGCGCACCUAGGCGACGAUCAGUAGCUGGUCUGAGAGGAUGAGCAGCCACACUGGGACUGAGACACGGCCCAGACUCCUACGGGAGGCAGCAGUGGGGAAUUUUCCGCAAUGGGCGAAAGCCUGACGGAGCAAGACCGCGUGGGGGAGGAAGGCCUUUGGGUUGUAAACCCCUUUUGUUAGGGAAGAAAAAAAUGACGGUACCUAACGAAUCAGCCUCGGCUAACUCCGUGCCAGCAGCCGCGGUAAUACGGAGGAGGCAAGCGUUAUCCGGAAUUAUUGGGCGUAAAGCGUCCGUAUGUGGCCCGGCAAGUCUGCUGUCAUAGACCACAGCUCAACUGUGGAAAGGCAGUGGAAACUGCAAGGCUAGAGUGCGGUAGGGGUAGAGGGAAUUCCCAGUGUAGCGGUGAAAUGCGUAGAGAUUGGGAAGAACACCGGUGGCGAAAGCGCUCUACCUGGGCUCGCAACUGACACUGA
RNAcentral lists this ribosomal RNA (598 nucleotides) under Oscillatoria sp. 50A. Its description in RNAcentral is "bacterial SSU rRNA". It matches the Rfam family "Bacterial small subunit ribosomal RNA", at positions 120 to 749 of the family's 1533-position model. The record is from RNAcentral. Lineage: Bacteria; Bacillati; Cyanobacteriota; Cyanophyceae; Oscillatoriales; Oscillatoriaceae.